Molecule: long non-coding RNA, 10787 nt
Filed under: Triticum aestivum (bread wheat)
Lineage: Eukaryota; Viridiplantae; Streptophyta; Magnoliopsida; Poales; Poaceae
Description: long non-coding RNA (TAES_LNC004393)
Source: RNAcentral
UCUUCUUGACCAUGACUUGCAAUCCUAAAUGGGAGGAGAUAACGAAUGAGUUGCUGCCUGGUCAGACGGUGCAAGACCGACCUGAUAUUGUGGCUCGCGUGUUCUACGGCAAGCUAGAGGCUAUGAAGGACAUGUUGUUCAAGAAGCAUAUCCUGGGUGUUGUUGUCGCAUAUGUAUACGUAGUCGAGUUCCAAAAAAGGGGCCUCCCCCACGCACAUUUUUUGUUGAUUUUGGACUCUAAAUAUAAGCUUAUCGUCCCGGAGCAGUAUGACCGACUCAUUUCCGCAGAGCUCCCAGACAAGCAUAAGUAUCCGGAAUUGUAUGCUAUGGUGGUAAAACAUAUGAUGCACGGACCAUGCGGUGCUCUCAACCCGAAGAAUGUUUGCAUGCAAGAAAACAGAUGCAAGUGCAGAUACCCACGGCCGUUCAAUGAAAACACAUCACAGGGGAAGGACUCGUACCCAAUUUAUCGGCGUAGAGACGAUGGAAGGCGUGCUAAGGUCCGAGGGAAGAUGUUGGACAACAGAUGGGUUGUGCCUUAUAACCCAUACCUGCUGCGGAUGUUCAAUUGCCACAUCAACGUUGAGGUCUGCUCCAGCAUAAAGGCCGUCAAAUAUCUUUACAAGUACAUUUACAAGGGCCAUGAUAAGGCUUCUUUCAACAUCGACCAUCCCGACGCCGGUGGUAACAUUGAUGAGAUCAAGAGAUACGUUGAUGCAAGGUGGAUCGCCCCUCCGGAGGCUAUGUGGAGGAUAUUUGGCUUUCCACUUUGCGCCAAUUACCCACCUGUCUUGCAGUUGCCUCUUCAUCUCCCGAAUAUGCACAGGGUCGCAUUCAAUGCGCAGGCUGACUUGAAGAAUGUUGUCGCCUCCGAAAAUAAUUCAAAAUCCAUGUUAACGGAGUAUUUCAAGGCUAACCAGGAACACCCUCGGGCUAGGCAUAUAUUGUACAAGGAUUUUCCCGGAAGCUUCACGUGGCAGAAGAAAAAGAAGUUUUGGAAGCCGCGGGUCGAGCGUUUUCAAAUAGGUCGCAUCGUGUCUGCCAAUCCUGCCGAGGGUGACCGAUACUACCUGCGUGUGUUGCUAAACCAUGUUACGGGCAAAACAUCCUUCGACGACUUGCUCACCGUGGACGGCGUUCUAUGUGGGAGCUUUAGAGAAGCUGCUGAAAGGUUGGGACUCAUCGAGGCAGACAACACGCUCGACAACUGUCUUACUGAGGCUGAGCAGUGGGCGAUGCCAUGUUCUCUUAGGAGGCUCUUCGCAACCAUCUUGGUGCACUGCGAGCCAAGCGACGUGCGUGGUUUAUGGGAUAGGCACCUCGAUCCUAUGUCAGAUGACUCUCGUCGAUCACGCACGUCCCCUAUCGAGGUGGAGCAGAUGGUGUUGCUUGACAUUAGGGGUAUGUUGCAGUCCAUGGGUAAAGACAUUGUUGAUUUCGCUCUUCCAAGCAUAGAUGAUGCGUUUGACCCAACCGAGGGUGAGGCAAGAGAGGUCAUCGAGGAAUCAACUGUUGAGUUUGACGUGGAUGAUACUAAAUUGGCAUCUUCCCUAAACUUGGAGCAGAGGGCCGCAUAUGACGAGAUACUAGCGGCUGUUGAACGCGGUGAUGGGGGUGUAUUCUUUGUUGAUGGCCCUGGAGGUACAGGGAAGACCUUUCUAUACAGGGUGAUGCUUGCCAAGGUGAAGAGCGAUGGCAAUAUUGGUAUCGCUACCGCGACGUCGGGCGUCGCCGCUUCUAUCAUGCCUGGCGGCAGGACUGCCCACUCGAGGUUCAAGAUCCCAUUGAGUUGCGAUGAUGGAGCCUCGUGCAGCUUCACGAAGCAGAGUGGGACCGCCAAGCUGCUUAGGAUGGCCUCAUUGAUAAUAUGGGAUGAGGCCAGCAUGACGAAACGACAAGCGGUCGAGGCAUUGGACAAUAGCAUGCGCGACAUCAUGGGAAUACGCGACCGACCCUUUGGAGGAAAGACUGUUGUUUUUGGCGGGGACUUUAGGCAGGUGCUUCCGGUCGUCAGAAGGGGGUCGCGGGGCCAGAUAAUUGAUGCAACCCUACGAAGUUCUCAUCUAUGGAAGGGUAUGCGGCAGCUUCGGCUCAUCACCAACAUGAGGGCUCAUAAUGACACGUGGUUUGCAAAUUACUUGCUAAGGGUCGGCAAUGGCACUGAGGAAGUCGACGAUCAAGGCAACAUACUACUCCCUGAAGACAUUUGUCUGCCGUCUACAGGCGAGGUUGACGACCUGGAGAAGCUUAUUCACCACGUGUUUUCGAGUCUAGAUGACAACAUGUCUGAUUCAAAUUACAUGACAUCCCGAGCAAUCCUUUCCAUGACAAACGACAAUGUCGACAAGAUAAACAUCCGCAUGAUAGAGCGUUUUCAGGGAGAUGAAGUAAUAUACCAUAGCUUUGACAGUGCGGAGGACGACCCAUAUGGCUACUACGCUCAGGAGUUUCUGAAUGGAUUGACUCCUAACGGUCUUCCUCCGCAUGCACUCAAGCUAAAGUUGAACUGCCCUGUCAUACUUCUAAGGAACAUUGAUCCAGCAAAUGGAUUGUGUAACGGCACUAGGCUUGUUGUUAGAGGUUUUGAGAGGAACACCAUUGAUGCAGAAAUCGUGAUUGGACAACACGCUGGCAGGAGGGUCUUCCUUCCUCGAAUACCUCUCUGCCCAUCUGAAAACGACAUGUUUCCGUUCAAGUUUAAGAGGAAGCAAUUUCCUAUAAGGCUUAGCUUUGCUAUGACCAUUAACAAGGCUCAAGGGCAGACAGUCCCGAUUGUUGGUGUCUACCUACCCAAUCCCGUGUUCUCUCAUGGUCAACUCUAUGUUGCUUUGUCUCGAGCCACCGCAAAGAGAAACAUAAAGAUACUCAUUCAGAAGGAGAAGCCGAAGGAGAAGUCCAACAAGCAAAAGGACAAUCCAAAGAAGCGAAAAACACCGACCGUGUCAUUACUAACCUCGAUGAAGAACAUCGUCUACAAGGAAGUCCUUACAGGCUGAAGUCCGGUCUUAAUAGACCGGCAGGUUAUGUAAUGACACAACAUUUACUCUUGUGAUGGUCAAGAUUUAUUUUAAUUCGUUUUUUUACAUAUAUCUUUUUUAUUUGGUAUUUUGAUAGUUGGAGGUAUACUCCAUUUAGUUGAGCUACUAACUGCAUUUCAAUAAUCAGCCGUCAUGUUGGCACCAUCAUCGUUGUUAUAUCUUUUCUACUAUCGCAAUGUUUCUGGGAGUGUACAUGUCACCCACCGUAGUAUUUCAUGUGUAAUAUGUGAUUCAGAUAUAAUGAUUGGCCUGAAAAAUACCUGGAACAUGCAAUGAAACUUUUGUGUUACGGCAAGUGAUCAUAUCCAUUGUUAUUAUUUUGAUAUUUUGAUAAUAUGGUUGAAUGUAAAUUUAUUGGCGUCCUUAUUAUCCCUGUAUUAUUCUGAUAGGUCAGAAGUAUAUGAUUAUGAUUGGUCUGAAUUAUAAGACCAACACACGCAGAAGGGAAGUUUGUGUAGCUUUUCAAGAUAUAUUUUGCAUAUGUACAUCUAAUAAAUAAUAAAAUGGUAGCAUGCGUACUUGCAAAUAUGUUCAAAUGCCCGUGCGACUCUGGAGAAUGUGACAAUGCACGUGUCUGAUCGCUAAAGUGUGCAAUCUUUGGAAAAAAGAUUGAUUACUUGUACUUUCACGCGUCUGAACUAAUUAUUUAUCAGUUCAGUUCAAGUUUCAUUUUUAUUUUUUGCAUUGGUUCAUGUACCUUCAUGAGUUUACUGCGGAUCUGAAAGAGUUCUAACCUAUAAAAUUGUACAAGGCUGCAUUAAUCUAGGACCUGGCGAGGAUUGGUUCAGAGAGCAAGCAUCGUUCUGCAGUAUCUUAAGGACGCUGGUUGGGCUGAGGGUGGUCGACUUAUAGGUUGCACCCAGCCAAGACGAUUGGCUGUGCAGGUAUCAACUGUUUAAAUGUUCAUCAAAAUGUGUAUCCUUCUCUAGAUGCCAUAUAAUACUAGGUUUCUCUUUUUACCUUCUGAUCAGAGCAUGCACCAGAUUAUUCUUUUGGGUACGUCCCUAGCAACUAGCAUGGCGAGUAAGGAUCUUAGCUAAUUAUCUAGAGCAAGCUUCUGUAUUACUUAUGGAUAUUCUGGUGCAACAUGAAUCAAACCCGGGCAACAUGAAUCUAAGAAAUAAAUUAUUAGAGAUAGAUAACUCCUAAAAGAUAAGCUUGGAGGACUUUCGCAGAGCUCCCAGCCACGAAGAUUUAUCCAGCUUCCCCUUUGUGACCUAGCCGUUUGUGACAGGGUUGCCAUGUGGUAGUGGCCAUAGUGCCCAAAAGUGUGUCUGUAACAGGAGACUUCAUCCUGCAAAAUUAUUCAUGUGCUCCGGCAGUGAUUUCUGACAUCCUAUACGGAGCAGUCAGCUGAUAGAACCAUAUCUGUACUAAUUAGAAGAUGGUAGCUGAACAUUUUGUUUACUGCAUUGGUAUUACUAAUUUCCAUAUGUUUGAAUUUUUUUACAAGGUAGGGGUUGCGUUCUAUUUUACAUUUGUUGUCAAUGUAUUUUUUAUGUAAUACUAUGUCACUACUAUAUAACACUGAUUUUUAGCGUAGAUAUCCAUGAAGCCAGCCUCAUGACACUUGACGAAACACGUGCGUACGUCAAUGGUGUUGUUCAAGCUAGGAACAAUGGAGGCUAGAAGUAUCUGUGUACACAAGUGCACAAUUUGUCUUAGAUAUAAAAAUGUAUGAACGCUUUGCAUGCAACAUUUUGUUGCCAAUUGUCACAUUAUGAAGUGUUCGCUUAUGUCUUGGAGGUUUAAUAAUAUGUGAUAUUCAAUAAAAAAAUCUAUUUAACAGUGUCGUCAUAUUUCGGAGCCAUAUACUGUGAAGUUCAGAACUAUAUAUUUGACUAAUAUAUAUUUGAUGACCAAACUGUCAAUAAUGGACUUCAAAUGGUAACCUGUCUACUCUCAUUUGAGCUACACGUAUGAAUCUCUUUCAGUGUAGGUUCAAAUUUUUUAAUAUACAGUGCAGCGCAAAAAGGAAAAUACGUUUACCUUGACAGAUGCUAUCGCAUGCUAUCAUGCAUUAUGACAUUCCAAAGAUAAUAUAAUUAAUUUUGUACAUGGAAUCAAGGAUUGCCGUAUGCCCGUGCGUUGUGUUUCUUUCUACACACGGAAACAAUAGUUCUUCAAGUGGCGCGGGCUUUUUGAUCGUGGUGAGGAGGACAAAAACAGAAGAAGAAAAAACGUUGUGUUUCUUUAUAUUUCUCGGACGCCCGUGUUUGACGUAUAUUUGGGAAAUAAAUUAAUUGUUUCUUUCUAUAUAUCUGGAGGCAAAGUUUGGAAAGGAGACAUAAAUUAGGAAAUAUAUAAUCCGGCGUUGAUACAUUUGCCGGGUGGAGCAUGCAACCAAAAUAAUUUUAUUCCAUGUUUUCCUAUAGUUUUUGUUAUGGAAUAUUGUAACUACGGAAGGAUAUGGGCCACCUUCCGAGUACAUGCCCACGAUUCCUCCCGGCCAGGAUAUGUCAAUUAGAACUAUAAUUAUCCUUAAAGUCAUUUCCUUCCAAAACGUUAUAGUGUCCAAUCUCCCGGUCCAGCCUACCAUACGUUCAAUGGGUUUCCCAGUGUGGCCAUUAAUAUUCCCUUAAUCGGAUUUGUUUAUAAGGAAAGUUAAAUUAUGCUUCUUCCGAUCGGGAAAGGGAGACAUAUAUAAUAGAUAUAUAAUCCGGCGUAUAUUUAUUUGCCCAGUGGAGUAUGGAAGAAAAACAUAUGCUUGUCCUUUUAUUAGCAAGGAUUUGUAAUGAAACAUGCACGGAUGGAAUGAUAAGGGGCACCUUCCAAUCCAUACAACAUGCUAAUGCGUCACCGACCUGGUGCCGGACGAUUCCCCUCCGACACUCAUAUAUAUGGUCCGGCUGUGAGUCCACCGUUGUCCACUGCCCCCUCGCUCGCUCGUCCUGGUGCUAAGACGACUUUCUGCCCGUGCCAAUGGCUGCAAUGCCGAUUUUUGAUGGAGUGAACGACGCAGUCGAGUACAUAUACAACUACGUCAUGCUUUCCUCAGUCGAGGAGCAGUUAGAGUUUGUUCUGGCAGCCCUAAACUCUAUCUAUAAUUUAUUUGCAAUUGUUAGCUGCAGAUCAGUACCAUUAUAUUAUGCAUUAUCGGCUUCUUAUUUUAAACCCGAGUAAAAAUCUGUUCUUUCACCUAAUCCACGUCGAUGGGUUGGUCACGUUCAUGAGUUGUUGCAUGCAUGCACUGGUUAGGAUCAUGCGAUCCUUUCUAAGUCCAUAAGGUUCUUAAGAUCUAACGUAGUGGUUGCAAAAAUCUGGUCAUGCGCUAAUAUUAUCCUUUUACAUUACGCCAUGUUAGUACCAUCCACAGCACGUUAUUUUAAACUACAAAUUUUCUAUGAACUGUAGUAUAUUGCAACGGGUCCUGGUGCAUGAUACAUGUACCAUCUAUAGAUUUUAUCAUAACUGUAAUAGGAACAAGUUGCAACCGAACAUAUCAUAAUAGAUUUGGUUAUCUUACGAAAUAGUACUUAUGUCCUCAAAUGACACUACAACUCCAAUUUUUAGGUACAUACAUUUCAGACCUUUCUAAAGUUUUGAAAAAAUAUACUAUUGUUUGCCCACACAUUGAAGUACAAUAUUUUUAUGAUACCCUGAUUUUAUCAUGCCGGUUUGUUUGCAGCACAAUAUGGAUAAGGAGCCCUCGUCCAUUCGUGAUCGAGUUAAGUCUACGGACUAUCCAAGACACCAUGCGAGGUGAUACAUGGGUCAAUCCGAGCUGCUUCGAUCUUGCAGUGCGUAAGCUUAGUAGCGACGCGAUACAAAGGAACGCAGGAACAGACUUUGUUGGCUCCACGCAUAUGUUUGAUUUGCAAUUCCAUGGCCUAGCACGGGUGCUGAGUCAGACUGGCUUAUGCCAAGCUGAACGCACCAACUUGUUGAUUAACAAUGUCAUUGUACGGCCUUUGCCGAAAUACAACGUGCUCAUGACCCCGUCCAUUGUAAGGAUUUUCCUUCUUAAAAGUUGGUGUGUAUACUAUCUGUUCACCAUUAACUUUGUAUACCUAUUGCAGUACCUAUUGCCGUUGUAUUUGGUGGAUUCCUCCUACGGCCUCCUUGCAGUUAAUAUUGAAAAUAGGAGGACUCUCCUGAUUGAUCAUUCUAACGAGUCAUUCCUAGGCUCAGAGGACUUUCAUGACAAGGAACUUAAGAAGGAAGCCCUGAUAGUUCUGAAAGAAUUUGGCAGUGUAUUGCAACAGGAGAGGCCUGGUUUGAAUCCCCAACUCGUGGAUUGGCCACAAGAUCAUACCUAUAUUACAGCCCCGCGGUAAUAGUUUUAAUUGGUCAUGCACAAUACAGCCUCACUGGUAUAGGUUCUAACAUAUGGAGUUUUUUUGUCACAGCCUGGACUCUGGAUUCAAACUCCUACAGGAGAUGGCUCACCAAGAUGAUACUCUCGGGCAUAACAUUUCCAGGACUUCGGUAGGUGCAUAUAUAACAAGUUUCUCUCUUCCAUAUCAUUGUUGAAUAUAAAUUUAUGUUCUUCCACUCACAUAGGUUUGUUGUGCAAUUCAUUCUUCAACAAUUUAUUCCCUACAUAUAUAUAUAUAACAAUUCAUUUUUUUUAUGUUUUCUAGGAUUCAAUACAGCUCAGAAAGAACUUGCUGGUCCAGAUGCUGACGAUCAAAGGCAAUGAAGCAGCUGGAAACAUCCCAGCUGAAAUUACAGCGGCCUUGAGGUUUUUGGACGAAUGACUAUGGACUGAUGCAUAUUGAAAUGUCGCAGAUAUAAUAAGCCAAUAGAGCUUUGUUAGGGAUCAAAUAUCAGAUUUAUCCUUUUGGCAAUAUGAAUAAUGUAUUGGAUUAUAUAUAUGUAGGGAAUAAAUGCUUCGAUGGCACCCUCUAGCUUCGUAUUCGCUUCAACGUUGUCUGCUUGUUUUGGUUCUAUCUAUAUAAUUUGGCUUGUAUGUAUAUUUUGUACUAUAAUACCUGUGCGGUCAGGAGCAGGUUUGUUGCUCCCGGUGAACCGGAGGCAUUUUGAAGGUAAUAAUCUUUUUGAAUGCCCGUGCUGAUCAGAUGAUCAGAUGACAUUUUCUGAAAUAUUUUUAAAGUUUAAAGAGUGAUUGAUGGUGGCAUCCACUAGCUAUGUUGGUUGUAUAUCUAUCUUUCCUUCUAUCUAAAUUUUAUGGUUGUAGACCAGACAGUUUGGACCAGGUUUGCUCCAGGUGAACCUAAGUACUUUUGUGUUGGACCAUGGCAGGUUCACAACAUACUCAAAGUCCGGCAGGUGAUGUUUUCAGAAAUUCCGUGCCUCGCAUCAUAUACUACCUCGUAUAGUAUAACUCCAUCCUAUACGAGGUUUUCUUCAUCGGAAAUAAUCAGCUAGAGAAUAGUCAACAAACAUAUGACGGUCAUACAGGCACCAUAUACUACCUCGUAUAGUAUAACUCCAUCCAUACACGCACUGUUAUAAUACGAGGUUUUCUUCGUCCGAAAUAAUCACAUUCCAGCUAGAGAAUAGUCAAUAAACAUAUGACGGUCAUACGGCACGUACCUUGCAUAUAUUCUUAAAUUUUGAAGUUGUCCUUGAUCUUGCUCUCUCGCCGUUGCCUUUAAUUCCAGCUAGCGAAUAAACGCUGAUUAUCUUUUAUGUGCUCCUGAAUAGAGUAACAAAAAUGAGAAGGAAUAGUUUUUCUUAUUGAUCAGUACCUACAGUAAACAAGUAAAACCACGGUAACAGUAGAUAUGUUAGUGUGCAGGCUGUGAAUUUUAAUGAGUUGCAUACAAAUCAAUGAUAACUUCAUAAUUUAAUGAGUUACAUACACCGCGGGUGCCUUGGUGUAAAAUACGUCCUCAAACCCGUUGCAAGUUGUGAGCAAGUUAGCUAAAUUCCUCAGCGUGCCACUGACUGAAGAGGAGGAUAGAGCUCUGGUGUUGCUAAAGAGGUGGUGAGACUCUCCAGUUUUGAGACACUUACCAGCCUAUAAGUUAACCAGGUUGGGGCCGUUAGCCACGGAAACAAAGUUUAAUUUGGUAAUUCCUGGUUUAUAGGAAAUCAGGAGUAGGGGACUGGGUGAACCACAUGAGCCGCGAGAUGGGCGAGAAGUUAGACUGCAUCAGCCAACAGAAGCUUCAGUGGUUUGGGCUUGUGCUUCAAGUCAAUUUUGUUAUCUGUUCUGCUAUCAAUAUCCAUAAGCACAUUACAGAAUGUUCCCUACUUAUAUCUUACUCAGUCUACUGUAUAAUGUUGUCAAAAAUCUGAUCCCAGUGUUGUGCAACAAGAUUACGAGUGUGUGCAUUUUAUCUGAUACCUGUGUCAACUGUACACCAUAAGCAAGCUGGCAUUUGAAAACUACGGUCUUUUGUAAAGAAAACAAAUUAAGUAACCAUUUGAUCUCAACACAUUUUGCCCGUACACUUUUGCAGGAUCUUCAGCAAGUAGGGGUGAUGAAAAUUAGAUAAAAAAUGUUUUGUUUAGGUUUGGCCCCCUCAGACUUGUCCAUCAACAUUCUAAAACCAUCAACCUUGGGGGUCUUAUCUGAGGUUAAGUGAUUUCAAAGAUGACAGUGGCCUUGUAUUUGACUCAGGCCGGGCUAAGUGGUUUCAAAGGGAACCUGGUGGGCUGGUUGCUGUUGUACUCACAAUAUCACAGACCCCCACACAUAUAUAAUCCCAGGCUUGCAUAUCCGGUGCAGUGAUUGUUCGACAUAAACUUGCGAGUACAGGAACCUACUACUACUAAGGUACUAUACUAAUCAAGUCACAUUUUGUUCAAUUUGCUACCAUGUAGUUGUGUAGAGGAUGUACCUGGCUGGGCAAAGUCGCUCGAGUCUGCUCUGUCUCACCAUCAAAAAUCACCACCGUGGCCGUGUCUUGGCCGUCGGGGAUACGUCUUCGCCCUGGCCCUUCCUGUGAGGCCGGGUCACGGCUCCUCGAUACAUCAGUGAGGAGGAUAUCAGGUCAUGGAAGCAAAAAGGAAGAAUUUUCUUCAAGUUGCUACCAUGUAGAGGAUGUACCUAGCUGGGCAAAUUCGCAGGAGUCUGCUCUGUCACAGAUGGGCUGCAGCAGUUCCACGCCCCCUUGUGACCUACGGCCGCUCGUACUCAGUCGAUGUCGACCUUGCAAAAGAUCGAUGAUGCAUUAGGUGCAUUUGUGUUUUGAUUGUGCAAACAACAAAAUCCGAAGGCUGUUAAUUGCCAUCUUUCAGAAACAAAACAUUUAAGAUUGUUUGUUUGUUAAUUUAACUUGAUUUAUAGUACAUGUUGAACUAAUUAAAUACACAUAAAAUAUAUAGAAAGUUCAUGUUUACCUCUUCAAAUUGAACAAUAUUAAAAAAAGAAUAAAUAUUUAAAUAGACAAAUAAGAUAUUUCGUUUUUAUAUGGGAAGAUUUUAGAAGAACAAACAAGUAACUUAGUGGCAUGCAAUCAAUGAUAAGUUGUUUAUUUAAUUAAUACAACAAUUUAAUUAUUUAGUAAGUUCUGAUUUCUGACAUAUUUUCUAAUUUAUUAAGAGGUGUGCGUUUCAUGAAAAAAGGAAAGAUAUCUGCACCAUACAUAAGUACAUAUCUGAAAAAGGAAAGAUAUCUGCACCAUACAUAAGAAUAUAUCUGAAAAAGGAAAGAUAUCUGCUACCCAACCUUCCCCUGCAUGGCCUACCUAUAUAUGUUAACCUCAUGUGCCAUCCCUCAUCCCCUCCUUACUCUCCCUUCCCCCAUCACAGAUAUCAAAGGAUCAAAAUACCCAGACUUGGAGGACAAAUUCCCGAGGAGUACCUUCUGUAAGCAAGGGGCAUCAAGAAGGCGAG